RNAcentral lists this ribosomal RNA (442 nucleotides) under uncultured bacterium. RNAcentral describes it as "bacterial SSU rRNA". It matches the Rfam family "Bacterial small subunit ribosomal RNA", at positions 958 to 1398 of the family's 1533-position model. The record is from RNAcentral.
AACGCGAAGAACCUUACCUGGGCUCGAACGGCUUAAGAACUCCGGUGGAAACACUGGCUUUCCCGCAAGGGACUUGAGUCGAGGUGCUGCAUGGCUGUCGUCAGCUCGUGUCGUGAGAUGUUGGGUUAAGUCCCGCAACGAGCGCAACCCUUGCCCUGUGUUGCUAAUCCGUAAGGAUGCACUCUCAGGGGACCGCCAGCGAUAAGUUGGAGGAAGGUGGGGAUGACGUCAAGUCAUCAUGGCCUUUAUGUCCAGGGCUACACACGUGCUACAAUGGACGGUACAAAGCGCUGCAAACCCGCGAGGGGGAGCUAAUCGCAAAAAACCGUUCUCAGUUCGGAUCGCAGGCUGCAACUCGCCUGCGUGAAGCUGGAAUCGCUAGUAAUGGCAUAUCAGAACGAUGCCGUGAAUACGUUCCCGGGCCUUGUACACACCGUAGUAC